CCUACGGGUGGCUGCAGUGGGGGAUAUUGCACAAUGGGGGGAACCCUGAUGCAGCGACGCCGCGUGGGUGAAGGAGCGUUUCGGCGCGUAAAGCCCUAUCGGCAGGGAAGAAGGAGGACGGUACCUGACUAAGAAGCCCCGGCUUACUACGUGCAAGCAGCCGCGGUAAUACGUAGGGGGCAAGCGUUUUCCGACUUUACUGGGGGUAAAGGGGGCGCAGGCGGGAGCGCAAGCCAGGAGUGAAAGCCCGGGGCCCCACCCCGGGACUGCGGUUGAAACUGGGCGGCUGGAGUGCGGGAGGGGCAGGCGGAAUUCCUGGUGUAGCGGUGAAAUGCGUAGAUAUCAGGAGGAACACCGGUGGCGAAGGCGGCCUGCUGGACUGCGACUGACGUUGAGGCCCGAAAGCGUGGGGAGCAAACAGGAUUAGAUACCCGAGUAGUC
This 441-nucleotide ribosomal RNA is filed under the name uncultured bacterium. RNAcentral's name for it is "partial 16S ribosomal RNA". It matches the Rfam family "Bacterial small subunit ribosomal RNA", at positions 338 to 795 of the family's 1533-position model. The record is from RNAcentral.